UAACAAGAUGGAAAAUGGGAAAUGUCAGAGAUGACAGAGCUGCUUGCAUCCUGGUGACCUGUGUUCCUCAGAAGAAGCCGGCCAUCUGUGUGCUGUAAAAGAACAUCAGACCAGAUACUGUGAGAAUCUGCAUGGAGAAAGAGAAGACAAGGAAUCACAUAAAGAAUUCACAGCCCCGGUGCUUCCCAUUUUGCCUGUAAGUGAGCCUUGUCUAGAACUUCUCCAACUUCACCUUUCAGCCAGAAGUUCAGCUUUCUUGGCCUGCUACAACUCUCUCGUCAGUGAACCUGCUCUGCCAACCGCCUGCCAGUCUGCCUUUCACCUGCCACGUACUUUCCCGGAUGAGCCACGCACCCCUGGGAAACUUCAGUGCAGCUCACCAUCACUCGCUUCAAAGUGUAAACAAAGCUAUUUCUGUUAUCAGCUUUGGUCUGAGUACUGCCUUUUGUUUUGUUUUGUGUGGCAUGUACAUUUUAUAUGCAUAAAAUCUUGACACCUAUAAUGACUAUUUUGGCUUGUUAGGCCCCUGUGGUUGUGUCUCAAACCCUCUGCAGUGUUAGAUUUUGACUGCUUUGUGCACUUGUUCACGUGAAUGCUUUUACUAAGUAAGACUGGUAAGACUGAUUAUGCUCUCUUUGCAUUUAACCUCCUAGGACCUGGCAUCUACAUAUGUGGACAUCACAUUUUGGGUUGUCUGGACCAAAAUACUAAAUUUUGCUCUACAAGGGCCUGAUAUCCACUUACUAGGACAUUAUACUACCACUGUUCUAUCCAAAUUUAAAACGAAUGUCCUCACAUGUGGAUCUCAUUUUUCUCAGAAACAAAAAUAAGGUAAAAAAAAAUCUGGCAAUUCUUUUUUUUUACAUUCAUCAGGUCCCAAUCAGCCCGAAUAACAAAGAAAAAUUAAAAAUGCAUGCCAUGAAAGAGUUUGGGUCUUAGGAGGUUAAUACUGUGUCACAUGUUUUUAAAGUUUUAGCAGUUGAGUUGUACAUGAAGCUUAAGAACUUGAUUUACUCACGUGCAGCACCGCUGGAACCUCUGUUCACACUGCAUUAAAAUCAUACAUAUGAAAAUGUAUAUUUCAAACUGAAAUGUUUUAUCUUUAUGUAAUUUUAAAUGCUGCUUGCUUAAUUUCUUUGCUGUUGUUAGAAUUGUAUUCAGCCCAUUUAAUCUUUGAUUUAUGCACUCAUGUACACACCAAUCACUGAAUCUUUUUCUAAAUUAUUAUUUUUACUGUCCUAAGUUUCAAGUUGUGGCAAAUCUUCUACCCACCCAGUGGCAUGGAGUUGUUUCCAGUAGUAUCAAUAAUAACUAGGUGAAAAUUUAUACACAGGGUUAGGACAAGGACCUAAGUUUAGCUUUAAUUAGUUGGUUGGUAUCAGGUACGUAGCCAGCUGGCUACUAAUGAAUGCUAUUCAUGCAGAUAUAGAGCAGAGAUACAAUUAUGUGGCAUAAAUGGCAAAACCCCACUUUUACAAAAGAUGUCCAAAAGUCAAGGUUUAGCUUGAAAAAAAAAAACCCCUCAAAAACCUCUCAAAAAAACAAACAACCCCCCCCCCCCCCCAAAAAAACCCCCCAAAAAACAAAAUUACUUGGCUAAUAAUCUAAAGAGUCUGAAACAGUAUCCAGUCAGCCAAUGAUAAAAGAAAGUAACACUGAAUGAAGUAACAUAAUUUCCAUGAAAAAAAAGUAGAAUUAAGUAUACACAUGUUCAGUGUCAUAAUUAUCAUGGCAAACAGGCUACAGUCGUGCUGUUUUGUGUUUUUGUGGAUAGUAGAAAUUCAUGGAUUUGAGGUCAGAGCAACCAAACUGGGAGCCCUUGUAGAUGAUGCGCUCUGCCCCGCUGUCGCUCAGAGUUUUGAGAAAAUAUUUAUUUCCCUUUUAUUAAUGAAUGUUUUUACAGUGGUUUACAGGUAUUCUCUGUUGUUCUGGAACAUUUUUUUUUGUUUUAUUACACUUUUUAAGUUAUCAGCUGAUACAUUUCUUAGAACAGCUCAAACAUACAGAACAACCUAGGCAAACAAAAUAAAAAUAAAAAACAGGCAGGACCUUUACAUUAUUUGUCAAAAAAGAUGUUUUACAUAAAAAAAUAUAGUAAUUUCCAUCAAAAUGACAAACUUCUUUGACACUGUACAAAUCUGGACAUGUCGCUGUUUAGAUGUUUGACAGAAUGACAGCAGUUUCUGAGAUUUUGUUUCUAAUCUUCUAAUUUCCUGAAAAUGUCUCAUCUUUUAAGUGACCUAAUUGCUUUUGCAGACAGUGAAUGCUUCCACUAUUAGUGUUGCUUGACUCCUGUUAUGUAUUGAAGAAUAUUUAUCACAAUCUGAAGAUGCUGAAUUGUUUUGCAUUGUUCUUUAAAAUGAGAAAGAGCUGUUGUUAUAUUUGCACAUAUUGUGAGUGGGAUAAACAUUUUUCCUGCAGCGAUUACACAACACAGUCAGCUACUUAGAGGAAUAUCAGUUGAAAACAGAUUGUCAUCAGUAUCGCACCUCGUGCUCUCCCCUGUAGUGUUACGGGAAGAACCAAGCGGAUCCAGCAACUAUAUUUAACUGCUAUCAGAGCAGACUCCUCCAUGUUCACAGUUUGUUUUAACUGUGUUGUGCUCAAGUUCUAUGAAUACUACGACAAAAUGUUACAACCAGUCAUAUCACUGACUUACACCUGUGUCCUUGGCAGAUUUUGACAGUUAUGUGGUUGUUUCUGCAUGCAAUCAUCUACACAGCGAAAUAAUGAAAGGAUCUUUCAUGGUGUAAAACUAUUUUUAGCUGAUAGAAACAUUAAAUUGAACAUUUGUUUAAAUUAUAGACAGUGUUGCGUCAUAGUUUACCUAAAUGCACUAAAACAAUUGUAAUGCUAACAAAAAUGAGGACUCCUCUUAUGAUAAAUGCAUCGCCUGCAGAAUGAGAGAAUGCGCCUGUGCUCCUCUUAGCUAUGUCAUCUUUUCAUUAUAAAUAAAAAACCAUUUAACAAUAAUCGUAUCUGUACAAAUGACCUCUCCGACCUCAAAUGAGGUUUUAGGAUGAAACUGAUGACAGACAACAGCAGUGUACUGGGCUGG
Astatotilapia calliptera (eastern happy) is the source of this 3058-nucleotide long non-coding RNA. Lineage: Eukaryota; Metazoa; Chordata; Actinopteri; Cichliformes; Cichlidae. The record is from Ensembl.